This 102-nucleotide non-coding RNA is filed under the name Bacillus sp. (in: firmicutes). RNAcentral's name for it is "Bacillus sp. Guanine sequence". It matches the Rfam family "Purine riboswitch aptamer". Rfam says of the family: Riboswitches are metabolite binding domains within certain messenger RNAs that serve as precision sensors for their corresponding targets. Allosteric rearrangement of mRNA structure is mediated by ligand binding, and this results in modulation of gene expression. The record is from RNAcentral. Lineage: Bacteria; Bacillati; Bacillota; Bacilli; Caryophanales; Bacillaceae.
AAAUAUUUAAUUUCAUGCACUCGUAUAAUAUUGGAAAUAUGGUCCAAAAGUUUCUACCGAACUGCCGUAAAAAGUUUGACUACGAGGAAUGAAUAAAAAGGG